UCCAGCAGCCGCGGUAAUACGUUCUCGGGCCUUGUACACACCGCCCGUCACACCAUGGAAGCCAGCUGUACCGGAAGUCGGUGCGCCAACCCCAAGAGGGAGGUAGCCGCCCAUGGUAUGACUGGUGACUGGGGUGAAGUCGUAACAAGGUAGCCGUAGGGGAACCUGCGGCUGGAUCACCUCCUUUCUAAGGAGCUGUGGCUUUUCCCAAAGCCAUGAUUCCUAGGUCAAUCCUCAUGAGUCUCCCUCAUGAGGCCUUUAUCUCCCCUAGCUAAACUCCCCUAACCCUCACGCUACUAUUUAGUUUUGAAGGACCACGGAUCAGCGAAGGUUUGGCGCUUUUCAGUCGUAUAAAAAGACGUUCAAAAGCUUUGAUGAUCUCUUGGACUUCACCGCAAAUCGAAUUUUUGAUUUGCGUUUUGUUCUUUGACAACUGAAUACCGGAAAGAGAGUGCCAGAAAGGAAAGCGCGCUUGGUAGCGACGGUGAAUGUGGUCAAGCUACUAAGGGCAUACGGUGGAUACCUAGGCACACAGAGA
This 538-nucleotide small RNA is filed under the name uncultured bacterium. RNAcentral describes it as "bacterial LSU rRNA". The stretch from base 1 to 187 matches the Rfam family "Bacterial small subunit ribosomal RNA", at positions 1348 to 1533 of the family's 1533-position model. The record is from RNAcentral.